This 444-nucleotide ribosomal RNA is filed under the name uncultured bacterium. Its description in RNAcentral is "bacterial SSU rRNA". It matches the Rfam family "Bacterial small subunit ribosomal RNA", at positions 29 to 461 of the family's 1533-position model. The record is from RNAcentral.
AACGAACGUUGGCGGCGUGGAUGAGGCAUGCAAGUCGAACGCGAAAGCCGCAAGGCGAGUAAAGUGGCGGACGGGCGAGUGACACGUAAUCAAGCUACCUGCGAGACGGGAAUAACCUCGGGAAACCGAGGCUAAGACCCGAUGGUCUAUCCGGACUGCAUGGUUUGGAUAGUAAAUGGGCGGGAUCCUCCGGGAUCGCCUGCUCGCAGAGGUGAUUGCGGCCCAUCAGCUAGUUGGUAGGGUAAUGGCCUACCAAGGCAACGACGGGUAGCCGGCCUUAGAGGGUGGUCGGCCGCACUGGGACUGAGACACUGCCCAGACUCCUACGGGAGGCUGCAGUCGAGAAUCUUCCGCAAUGGGCGAAAGCCUGACGGAGCGACGCCGCGUGGAGGAUGAAGGCCUCGGUUGUAACGUACCUCGUCACGAGUUAAGAAGGGAAGUAGC